ACAAAGAAGAGUUUGAUCCUGGCUCAGGAUGAUCGCUAGCGGCAGGCUUAACACAUGCAAGUCGAGGGGCAGCGCGGGGUAGCAAUACUCUGGCGGCGACCGGCGGAAGGGUGCGUAACGCGUGAGCAACUUGCCCGCAUCAGGGGGAUAACCGGUGGAAACGCCGCCUAAUACCCCGUAACAACAGGGACCGCAUGAUUCCUGUUUGAAAGCUCCGGCGGAUGCGGAUGGGCUC
This 235-nucleotide ribosomal RNA is filed under the name Bacteroidales bacterium. RNAcentral describes it as "partial 16S ribosomal RNA". It matches the Rfam family "Bacterial small subunit ribosomal RNA", at positions 1 to 232 of the family's 1533-position model. Lineage: Bacteria; Pseudomonadati; Bacteroidota; Bacteroidia; Bacteroidales. The record is from RNAcentral.